This 94-nucleotide small nuclear RNA is filed under the name Rosa chinensis. Lineage: Eukaryota; Viridiplantae; Streptophyta; Magnoliopsida; Rosales; Rosaceae. The record is from RNAcentral.
AUCCCUUCGGAGACAUCCAAUAAAAUUGAAACGAUACAGAGAAUAUUAGUAUAGUCCGUGGCCAAGGAUGCCAAACAUAAAAUCGGGAACUUUU